GACGAACGCUGGCGGCGUGCCUAAUACAUGCAAGUAGAACGCACAGAUUAUACCGUAGCUUGCUACACCAUAGACUGUGAGUUGCGAACGAGUGAGUCACGCGUAGGUAACCUGUCUGGUAGCGGGGGAUAACUAUUGGAAACGUUAGCUAAUAUCGCAUAAUAUUGAUAAUGGAAUGAUACUUGAUUGAAAGAGGGUAUUGCAUCGCUACCAGAUGGACCUGCGUUGUAUUAGCUAGUAGGUGAGGUAACGGACCACCUAGGCGACGGUACAUAGCCGGCCUGAGAGGGUUAACGGCCACCCUUGGACUUAGACACGGCCCAGACUCCUUCGGGAGGCAGCAGUAGGGAAACUUCGGACAUGGACGGAAGUCUGACUGAGCAACGCCCGGUGAGUGCAGGAGGUCCUCGGAUCGUUAAGCUCUGUUUUUUGGGAAGAACGAGUGUGAGAGUGAAAAGUUCACGCUGUGACGGUAUCUAACGAGAAAGCGACGGCUAACUUCGUG
Molecule: ribosomal RNA, 505 nt
Filed under: uncultured bacterium
Lineage: Bacteria
Description: partial 16S ribosomal RNA
Rfam family: Bacterial small subunit ribosomal RNA
Source: RNAcentral